This 255-nucleotide unclassified non-coding RNA is filed under the name Hevea brasiliensis (rubber tree). Lineage: Eukaryota; Viridiplantae; Streptophyta; Magnoliopsida; Malpighiales; Euphorbiaceae. The record is from RNAcentral.
CUCUUCCUGAUUGUAAACUCCACUAAUAUUCCCAUAUGAUCUUUAGAUUGACAAUAAGGUAACCUCCUCCUCAAUAUAUGUUGCAAACAGUACAAAUAUCGAAUAAGUAUCGGCUUCUGAAGCUUCAAAAGCAACAGUUUGAAGUAUGAGCAGAACCACAAAUUUAGUUAAUUUCAGUAAAUGCCCUUGGAUGGAACAUGUUGCAUAAUGCUUCUACCGCUAAAUCAACCCGCACUUGCUUCUUUCCUUGGAAAC